Molecule: ribosomal RNA, 823 nt
Filed under: Streptomyces cyaneogriseus
Lineage: Bacteria; Bacillati; Actinomycetota; Actinomycetes; Kitasatosporales; Streptomycetaceae
Description: bacterial SSU rRNA
Rfam family: Bacterial small subunit ribosomal RNA
Source: RNAcentral
GCAGUCGAACGAUGAAGCCCUUCGGGGUGGAUUAGUGGCGAACGGGUGAGUAACACGUGGGCAAUCUGCCCUUCACUCUGGGACAAGCCCUGGAAACGGGGUCUAAUACCGGAUAACACUGCGGACUGCAUGGUCUGCGGUUAAAAGCUCCGGCGGUGAAGGAUGAGCCCGCGGCCUAUCAGCUUGUUGGUGGGGUAAUGGCCUACCAAGGCGACGACGGGUAGCCGGCCUGAGAGGGCGACCGGCCACACUGGGACUGAGACACGGCCCAGACUCCUACGGGAGGCAGCAGUGGGGAAUAUUGCACAAUGGGCGAAAGCCUGAUGCAGCGACGCCGCGUGAGGGAUGACGGCCUUCGGGUUGUAAACCUCUUUCAGCAGGGAAGAAGCGAAAGUGACGGUACCUGCAGAAGAAGCGCCGGCUAACUACGUGCCAGCAGCCGCGGUAAUACGUAGGGCGCAAGCGUUGUCCGGAAUUAUUGGGCGUAAAGAGCUCGUAGGCGGCUUGUUGCGUCGAUUGUGAAAGCCCGGGGCUUAACCCCGGGUCUGCAGUCGAUACGGGCAGGCUAGAGUGUGGUAGGGGAGAUCGGAAUUCCUGGUGUAGCGGUGAAAUGCGCAGAUAUCAGGAGGAACACCGGUGGCGAAGGCGGAUCUCUGGGCCAUUACUGACGCUGAGGAGCGAAAGCGUGGGGAGCGAACAGGAUUAGAUACCCUGGUAGUCCACGCCGUAAACGUUGGGAACUAGGUGUUGGCGACAUUCCACGUCGUCGGUGCCGCAGCUAACGCAUUAAGUUCCCCGCCUGGGGAGUACGGCCGCAAGGCUA